Molecule: ribosomal RNA, 497 nt
Filed under: uncultured bacterium
Lineage: Bacteria
Description: partial 16S ribosomal RNA
Rfam family: Bacterial small subunit ribosomal RNA
Source: RNAcentral
GAUGAACGCUGGCGGCGUGCCUAAUACAUGCCAGUCGAGCGAACAGACGAGGAGCUUGCUCCUCUGACGUUAGCGGCGGACGGGUGAGUAACACGUGGAUAACCUACCUAUAAGACUGGGAUAACUUCGGGAAACCGGAGCUAAUACCGGAUAACAUGUUGAACCGCAUGGUUCAACAGUGAAAGACGGUCUUGCUGUCACUUAUAGAUGGAUCCGCGCCGCAUUAGCUAGUUGGUAAGGUAACGGCUUACCAAGGCAACGAUGCGUAGCCGACCUGAGAGGGUGAUCGGCCACAAUGGAACUGAGACACGGUCCAGACUCCUACGGGAGGCAGCAGUAGGGAAUCUUCCGCAAUGGGCGAAAGCCUGACGGAGCAACGCCGCGUGAGUGAAGAAGGUCUUCGGAUCGUAAAACUCUGUUAUUAGGGAAGAACAAAUGUGUAAGUAACUAUGCACGUCUUGACGGUACCUAAUCAGAAAGCCACGGCUAACUACGUG